This 130-nucleotide small RNA is filed under the name Vigna angularis var. angularis. Its description in RNAcentral is "Non-protein coding transcript". The record is from RNAcentral. Lineage: Eukaryota; Viridiplantae; Streptophyta; Magnoliopsida; Fabales; Fabaceae.
AUAAGACCACUAGUAGCUGCGUUGACUUUUCAUCAAUUCUUUGAAGGCAUGGGACUUGGAAGCUGUAUAUCUCAGGCAAACUUCAAGAGAGUAUCUGUCACAGUGAUGGGAUUGUUCUUUGCAUUGACUA